This 274-nucleotide ribosomal RNA is filed under the name uncultured bacterium. Its description in RNAcentral is "partial 16S ribosomal RNA". It matches the Rfam family "Bacterial small subunit ribosomal RNA", at positions 523 to 796 of the family's 1533-position model. The record is from RNAcentral.
AGACAGAGGGUGCAAGCGUUAAUCGGAAUUACUGGGCGUAAAGGGCACGUAGGCGGCUAUUUAAGUGAUGGGUGAAAGUCCAGGGCUCAACCUUGGGAUUGCCUGUCAAACUGGAUAGCUAGAGUACAGUAGAGGAGAGUGGAAUUGCCGGUGUAGCGGUGAAAUGCGUAGAUAUCGGAAGGAACACCAGUGGCGAAGGCGGCUCUCUGGACUGAUACUGACGCUCAUGUGCGAAAGCGUGGGGAGCAAACAGGAUUAGAUACCCUAGUAGUCC